AAAUGAAUUGACGGGGACCCGCACAAGCAGCGGAGCAUGUGGUUUAAUUCGAAGCAACGCGAAGAACCUUACCAGGGCUUGACAUCCCUCUGACAGAUCGGGUAACGCUGAUCUUCUCUUCGGAGCAGAGGUGACAGGUGGUGCAUGGUUGUCGUCAGCUCGUGUCGUGAGAUGUUGGGUCAAGUCCCGCAACGAGCGCAACCCCUACUGUCAGUUGCCAUCAUUAAGUUGGGCACUCUGACGGGACUGCCGGGGAUAACCCGGAGGAAGGCGGGGAUGACGUCAAAUCAUCAUGCCCCUUAUGUCCUGGGCGACACACGUGCUACAAUGGCCAGCACAGAGGGAAGCCAAGGAGCGAUCCGGAGCAAAACCCCAAAGCUGGCCCCAGUUCGGACUGCAGGCUGAAACCCGCCUGCACGAAGCCGGAGUUGCUAGUAAUCGCGGAUCAGAAUGCCGCGGUGAAUGCGUUCCCGGGUCUUGUACACACCGCCCGU
Molecule: ribosomal RNA, 494 nt
Filed under: uncultured bacterium
Lineage: Bacteria
Description: bacterial SSU rRNA
Rfam family: Bacterial small subunit ribosomal RNA
Source: RNAcentral